UUUCCGUAGGUGAACCAGCGGAAGGAUCAUUAUUGUAUAACCGAGGUGCGAGGGCUGUCGCUGACCCGAAAGGUCGUGCACGCCCGAGUGCCCUCACACACAUCCAUCUCACCCCUAUGUGCACCACCGCGUGGGUCCCCCUUUGGCUUGUUCGGAGGGGGGCUUACGUUUUCACACAAACUUUGUAUGCAGUGUAGAAUGUAUUUUUUGUUUUUGCGAUCACGCAAUCAGUACAACUUUCAACAACGGAUCUCUUGGCUCUC
This 263-nucleotide unclassified non-coding RNA is filed under the name plant metagenome. RNAcentral's name for it is "partial contains small subunit ribosomal RNA, internal transcribed spacer 1, and 5.8S ribosomal RNA". The record is from RNAcentral.